AUGGCUGUCGUCAGCUCGUGUUGUGAAAUGUUGGGUUAAGUCCCGCAACGAGCGCAACCCUUAUCCUUGUUUGCCAGCGAGUAAUGUCGGGAACUCCAGGGAGACUGCCGGUGAUAAACCGGAGGAAGGUGGGGACGACGUCAAGUCAUCAUGGCCCUUACGAGUAGGGCUACACACGUGCUACAAUGGCGCAUACAGAGGGCAGCAAGCUAGCGAUAGUGAGCGAAUCCCAAAAAGUGCGUCGUAGUCCGGAUUGGAGUCUGCAACUCGACUCCAUGAAGUCGGAAUCGCUAGUAAUCGUGGAUCAUAAUGCCACGGUGAAUACGUUCCCGGGCCUUGUACACACCGCCCGU
Molecule: ribosomal RNA, 353 nt
Filed under: Vibrio sp.
Lineage: Bacteria; Pseudomonadati; Pseudomonadota; Gammaproteobacteria; Vibrionales; Vibrionaceae
Description: bacterial SSU rRNA
Rfam family: Bacterial small subunit ribosomal RNA
Source: RNAcentral